RNAcentral lists this unclassified non-coding RNA (25 nucleotides) under Mus musculus (house mouse). RNAcentral's name for it is "oocyte_clustered_small_RNA12142". Lineage: Eukaryota; Metazoa; Chordata; Mammalia; Rodentia; Muridae. The record is from RNAcentral.
UGGAAAGAGAGGCACAUUGGACACA